RNAcentral lists this ribosomal RNA (435 nucleotides) under uncultured bacterium. RNAcentral describes it as "partial 16S ribosomal RNA". It matches the Rfam family "Bacterial small subunit ribosomal RNA", at positions 28 to 507 of the family's 1533-position model. The record is from RNAcentral.
GAUGAACGCUGGCGGUAUGCUUAACACAUGCAAGUCGAACGGACUCUUCGGAGUUAGUGGCGGACGGGUGAGUAACGCGUGAGAAUCUGGCUUUGGGUUCGGGACAACCACUGGAAACGGUGGCUAAUACCGGAUGUGCCGAGAGGUAAAAGAGAAAUUGCCUGAAGAUGAGCUCGCGUCUGAUUAGCUAGUUGGUGAGGUAAAGGCUCACCAAGGCAGCGAUCAGUAGCUGGUCUGAGAGGAUGACCAGCCACACUGGGACUGAGACACGGCCCAGACUCCUACGGGAGGCAGCAGUGGGGAAUUGUCCGAAAUGGGCGAGAGCCUGACGGAGCAAUACCGCGUGAGGGAAGAAGGCUCUUGGGUUGUAAACCUCUUUUCUUAGGGAAGAACAAAAUGACGGUACCUAAGGAAUCAGCAUCGGCUAACUCCGUG